RNAcentral lists this ribosomal RNA (468 nucleotides) under uncultured bacterium. RNAcentral describes it as "partial 16S ribosomal RNA". It matches the Rfam family "Bacterial small subunit ribosomal RNA", at positions 28 to 507 of the family's 1533-position model. The record is from RNAcentral.
GACGAACGCUGGCGGCGUGCUUAACACAUGCAAGUCGAACGGAAAGGCCCUGCUUUUGUGGGGUGCUCGAGUGGUGAACGGGUGAGUAACACGUGAGUAACCUGCCCUUGACUUUGGGAUAACUUCAGGAAACUGGGGCUAAUACCGGAUAGGAGCUCCUGCUGCAUGGUGGGGGUUGGAAAGUUUCGGCGGUUGGGGAUGGACUCGCGGCUUAUCAGCUUGUUGGUGGGGUAGUGGCUUACCAAGGCUUUGACGGGUAGCCGGCCUGAGAGGGUGACCGGCCACAUUGGGACUGAGAUACGGCCCAGACUCCUACGGGAGGCAGCAGUGGGGAAUAUUGCACAAUGGGCGGAAGCCUGAUGCAGCAACGCCGCGUGCGGGAUGACGGCCUUCGGGUUGUAAACCGCUUUCGCCUAUGACGAAGCGUGAGUGACGGUAAUGGGUAAAGAAGCACCGGCUAACUACGUG